UCCCAACUGCAACUAAUGAAAGGGAUCAGGGCCUUUUCCUCUCCCAUAAGACACAUUGCUCCCUUCUCCGUUCCUCCCUGCAUGCCCUAGGAUGAAGAGUAGAUGGCCCUGGGCCUUCCUCUGAACUUCCUCUCCCUUGUUCUCCAUCUCU
This is a non-coding RNA of Notechis scutatus (mainland tiger snake), 151 nucleotides long. NCBI's taxonomy places the organism in Eukaryota, Metazoa, Chordata, Lepidosauria, Squamata, Elapidae. The record is from RefSeq and is a predicted model, not a curated record.